This 253-nucleotide ribosomal RNA is filed under the name uncultured bacterium. RNAcentral describes it as "partial 16S ribosomal RNA". It matches the Rfam family "Bacterial small subunit ribosomal RNA", at positions 524 to 776 of the family's 1533-position model. The record is from RNAcentral.
UACGUAGGGUGCGAGCGUUGUCCGGAAUUAUUGGGCGUAAAGGGCUCGUAGGCGGUUUGUCGCGUCGGGAGUGAAAUCCACUGGCUUAACUGGAGGCUUGCUUUCGAUACGGGCAGACUGGAGGUAUGCAGGGGAGAACGGAAUUCCUGGUGUAGCGGUGAAAUGCGCAGAUAUCAGGAGGAACACCGGUGGCGAAGGCGGUUCUCUGGGCAUGUCCUGACGCUGAGGAGCGAAAGUGUGGGGAGCGAACAGG